This is a long non-coding RNA of Canis lupus familiaris (dog), 1946 nucleotides long. RefSeq lists it as uncharacterized. The transcript has 3 exons. The record is from RefSeq and is a predicted model, not a curated record. Lineage: Eukaryota; Metazoa; Chordata; Mammalia; Carnivora; Canidae.
CUCUUGCACUGUUGGUGGGAACGCAAGAUGGUAUAGCCACUCUGGAAAAUGGUAUGGACAUUCCUUAAGAAGUUAAAAAUAGAGCUACUCUACGACCCAGCAAUUGCACUACUUGGUAUUUACCCCCAAUAUACAGACAUAGUGACUGAAGAAGCACUUGCACCCCAAUGUUUAUAGCAGCCAUGUCCACAAUACCCAAACUGUGGAAAGAGCUGAGAUAUCCAUCAACAGAUGAAUGGAUAAAGAUGUGUUCAUUAAUUAUACUUCUGGAUAUUUGCUCAAGAGGAAUAAAAACAUGUGCCCACAGAAGACUUGUGCAAGAAUUCAUUUAUAGAACCAAGAACUGAAAUCUGGUUCCUCUCUCUUUGGAGAAGGACAUGUGUGCAGGGAAGAUGGGGCAAUGGAUUAUCUAAGUCAAGGAAUUGGGCCAGCAGCAAACAAGGACUUAAUAACUAGAGAGAAUAUUGGAAAUCAAGAAACAACGUGCCAGUGUUUCUGUAUGUGGUGAUAAGAAGAAUCUGGGGUGGAGGGAGGUGAGAGAUUGAAGACAAGAUGAGCUAGGAGAAGGUCAGGAAUUGGGGGCUUCACACCUCAAUCGUAUCACAUACCCAGCAGCCAACCCAGCUUGGAUCAUUCCACCUGAGGCUGUGAGGGAGUUCCUAGGAACAGGAUGUGCCCACCCUCCACUCCACAAGGCAGCAUUUUUACCAAGGGCGAGCUGUCUGUGGGCAGGUGAGGCCCUAACUAGUCCCUUCCAGCCCUACCCUAUUUAGCCAGUGUCCUGAGACAUUUCUCCACCCAAUUGUGGCUUCUUGAUACCAAGGUUAUACCUAGUCUGAGUCAGUUCAGGGAACCCCAGUGUGUUUCCCAUCAGGAUGUCCGCUCCAUUGUUUUCUCUGCAGAAUGACACCAGCACUUGGAAAAAAGGAAAACCUGUAUUCUGCUUCAUUUUUAGAGAACUAUCAUUUCUUCUUCCUGUAAUAAUGUGUCUGCCAGCAUUACUCUCAAUGGUUGUACUUGCUCUAUUUUUAACAUGCCCUUUCAAAGGGUUAACCAUGAAAUUAAACCAAAAAGACGAUGUACGUGAAAUCCACAGUCACAUCACCUCUCUAGACAAAUCUCAGAAAGCCGAGAAUAAACAAACAGUUUAACCUGCAAAUCAGUUAUCCAGGGAACACUAAGGCGCCCACUCUUUAAUCUUUUCAUAUUACAUCAAAACCCUGGCUUUGGAUCAGAAUUGCAGAAUGCUUGCAUCUAGUCAGCCUGGAACCUAUUGCCAGUCAGGCACAUUACUCUUCCUUAAAUGUCAAAACAGUGAGCACAGCAUCUCCUGAGAACCAUAAACAGCCUAAGGAGACUUAAUACCAAGAUGAAGCCUUUCCAGAUAUUGGUUUCAACUAUUCCUCUCUUUUUACCAUUUAAUGAAAAUUACAGUUUGGCUCUAAUUUGAACACUUGCCAGACCAUUUCCACCAGAGCUCUUAAAACUCGCCUUUCUCUGGGUCCUUUGAGGAAGGUCCUUUGUGAUCUAACACAUUUGGAUUCAAAGGAUGGCAGUUGCUGCCCCACAGUCCCUAAAGAGAAGCAGAAAAUCCACCUAAGUAAGCAGAGAGUCCAGAAUUAGAAAAUAUACGGUUUAACUUUACCACAGAGAAAUUUCUAAAAAGAGGAGAGUGACCUCUCAGCUCAGUGACCUCCCCAAGUCAGUUCCAAAAAGAAACAAACUGCUAUAAAAAGGAAAAGCUGAACCACAUCUCGGUUGGCAUAACCAUAACUCAAGAGUGGACUGGGAAGACCCAGGGAAAGAUAUUCAGAGCUAAAGUUGUCCAAGAACAGGUUGAAUUUGGAUGUUGAAUGGGAUUAAGAGUUGUGGGGCUGAGAACAGUUGGAUGUCUGUGCCAAGCAGGUCAUACUCAGCCUGCAGUAAGUGAUCACUGCUUUUGGCAC